RNAcentral lists this ribosomal RNA (274 nucleotides) under uncultured bacterium. RNAcentral describes it as "partial 16S ribosomal RNA". It matches the Rfam family "Bacterial small subunit ribosomal RNA", at positions 84 to 354 of the family's 1533-position model. The record is from RNAcentral.
CCUGCCGGCGACCGGCGCACGGGUGAGUAACACGUAUGCAACCUGGCCGUCACAGGGGGAUAACCGGUAGAAAUGCCGCCUAAUACCCCAUGACACCCUUUAGGGACAUCCCUGGGGGGUCAAAGGGAGCGAUCCCGGUGGUGGAUGGGCAUGCGGCGCAUUAGCUAGUCGGCGGGGUAACGGCCCACCGAGGCGACGAUGCGUAGGGGUUCUGAGAGGAAGGUCCCCCACAUUGGAACUGAGACACGGUCCAAACUCCUACGGGAGGCAGCAG